UACGGAGGGUGCAAGCGUUAUCCGGAUUCACUGGGUUUAAAGGGUGCGUAGGCGGGUGUGUAAGUCCGUGGUGAAAUCUCCGAGCUUAACUCGGAAACUGCCAUGGGUACUGCAUGUCUUGAAUGUUGUGGAGGUGAGCGGAAUAUGUCAUGUAGCGGUGAAAUGCUUAGAUAUGACAUAGAACACCAAUUGCGAAGGCAGCUCACUACACAAAUAUUGACGCUGAGGCACGAAAGCGUGGGGAUCAAACAGGAUUAGAUACCCUGGUAGUCCACGCCCUAAACGAUGAUUACUCGACGUGCGCGAUACACAGUGCGCGUCUGAGCGAAAGCAUUAAGUAAUCCACCUGGGAAGUACGACCGCAAGGUUGAA
RNAcentral lists this ribosomal RNA (372 nucleotides) under uncultured bacterium. RNAcentral describes it as "bacterial SSU rRNA". It matches the Rfam family "Bacterial small subunit ribosomal RNA", at positions 524 to 898 of the family's 1533-position model. The record is from RNAcentral.